GGGGGCCCGCCCAAGCGGGGAGCAUGUGGUUUAUUUGGAAGCAACGCGAAGACCUUUACCAGGUCUUGACAUCCUCUGACAACCUUAGAGAUAGGGCUUUCCCUUUCGGGGGACAGAGUGACAGGUGGUGCAUGGUUGUCGUCAGCUCGUGUCGUGAGAUGUUGGGUUAAGUCCCGCAACGAGCGCAACCCUUGAUCUUAGUUGCCAGCAUUCAGUUGGGCACUCUAAGGUGACUGCCGGUGACAAACCGGAGGAAGGUGGGGAUGACGUCAAAUCAUCAUGCCCCUUAUGACCUGGGCUACACACGUGCUACAAUGGAUGGUACAAAGGGCUGCAAACCUGCGAAGGUAAGCGAAUCCCAUAAAGCCAUUCUCAGUUCGGAUUGCAGGCUGCAACUCGCCUGCAUGAAGCCGGAAUCGCUAGUAAUCGCGGAUCAGCAUGCCGCGGUGAAUACGUUCCCGGGCCUUGUACACACCGCCCGUCACACCACGAGAGUUUGUAACACCCGAAGUCGGUGUAGGUAACCUU
Molecule: ribosomal RNA, 528 nt
Filed under: Bacillus sp. 1a-6 (2)
Lineage: Bacteria; Bacillati; Bacillota; Bacilli; Caryophanales; Bacillaceae
Description: bacterial SSU rRNA
Rfam family: Bacterial small subunit ribosomal RNA
Source: RNAcentral